CGUGAUCCCCAGAACCAAUCUCAUAACUGCAUUUCACAACAUGAGAAACAGAGUCUACUACAGGCACCAUUUCUUGUAAAUCAGCUGGUUUGCCGUUGGUAGAUUCCACACUCCCGACGGGAAUAAAAGCCAGGCUUUCUACAACAGGGUGCACACACUUUCAGUGAAGACCAGACCCAGAAAGCAAUCGUUGGCGUGCCGCCAGUGUUUUUGCUGCGGGCGGGCCACCGGCGGCUAUAAUGUCGUACAGCCAGCGGGCCACCAGCUUUUGCCGCUUUUCUCUUGAUUUCAAUUUGCAUCUCAGGCGGCUUUCCACCAGCGGCCCGACUGCGUUACGCUAGCGGCUAGCUGUCGAAAAGAGGGCAUGCGCUUUAGUCUGCUGUAUCUGCUUGUGUUGCCAUUUUCUUCCAGCAGAUGCUAUUGUACCCCUUUUAUUCUUGUAAUGAUUAUUUGAUUUAUUUUAAUAUUGUAAAAUCUUAGUGUACAGAAUUUUGGUCAACAAUUGGUAGUUUAUAAAUAAAAUAGACUUUGACUAUUGCAUUGCUUGUGUAAAGGACCUUAGACAUGUACAGUAAACACCUCUCGCCAUUGCUUGCCAUAAUAUUUUCACGAACUAAUGGCCAUUUUACAUUACAUGGUACCAGCUCAACUCGUCUAUAGCCUCGAUUUUAAUGCUUCAUGGGGGACAGUUCUUUACUGUGUUUAAACACCGCCGUGUCCGUAGAUGGCGUUUAAGUAGCGAAUUGCGCAUGUGUAAGGCAAGACCUUACACAUGCGCAGGACAGUCGCCAUUUGGAUCCCACGCUGUAGUACCGCGAAAACUAGAAAGAACAUUAAUUUUAGCGACUUGGUUCUCUUGUCAACUCUUGUUCAAAGUGUAUAAGCUAUAUGCUCUGAAUUGGACUAUACAACACGUGGAUUAUCACAUUGUUUUAUUACAAUUUUAUGAACUCCCGAAACAAACGAAGAUCAAGGAUUUUUUUGGACAUCAGACCGAAAAUUGUUGAACGCCGAGUCACAUACUUAGGUUCGGAUGUUUUGUGCUUCUUCGCCUAUCAACAGUUGAACAGGGCAAAAAGGCAGAGGUAGGGGGAAGUUUUAGCUCUGUACAGAACAUUUGGAGAAGAUCAAGUGGCUGACUGAAGAGAAGGUCAAGCUGAGGGCACAGCUGGCUCUACAAUCAGUUAAAAACAAGACUUUAGUUACGCUAGCAUCUUGUCUUAAUGAAACAGCAUUUGUUUGAACAUGAGCCCUUUACUGAAAUGCAAUACUGUACAGCCUUUCUGAAAUUACAUGUAUAGGGCAGUUUUGUUUAUUUCACUAUUAAGCUAUUGACAUUUCAUUGUGCUUUUUAGCUUCUGAUAAACGUCUGACUUGAAAAGAAUGUCAAGCCGAGGGCACAGCUGCCUCUACAAUCAGAAGCCAUAAGGAAGAAUCUUUCCAACCGGGAUGCCACUGAUGAGGCGGUCCAGAACCAGGUCCCCAGGUACCAGAAAGGGGCAGCUGACCGUGCAGGUGGGAGAUGUCGCGGCGGUACAAGGGACCUGUCGUGAAUAUGAAUGACAUCUCCAGCACAACUAAUAUUGCUGCUAAGCUGCAGUACUGUAUUUCUUUUUUUUUUCUUUUUUACUGCUGCUAUGUACAGUGUUAUAUAUAUGAUUGCAUUAUCCUCUUAAUAUAUUUAUAGCUCUGUGUGAACUUUCUUAAUUCUGACUGUAGUUGUAGUGUUAUGCCACCAUUCAUAAUCUUAAUGCCCUGAUGUAUCUGAUAUUCAAUAACUAUUGUUUGCUGCUAGGUCAUACUUAUGUAUAUUACUGCCAUUCUGGCCCUUGUUUAUUUUGUAUUGUAUUAUGUUUAUUUUGUACUUCCACAUUAAAAUACUGUAUAUUUACUAUCUGUUACUGGACACGUUUUCUUGCACUAUCUGAUUUUGUAAAAUGUUUUUUUCAAUUCAUUUGCACAUGUUUAUUUUGUAUUCUUGCUGUAUAAUGCAUGUUUUUUUUUGUAUGCAUCUUGCACUAUUUGAAAUAAAUUGUUUAGAUUUUAUUCAGUUCAUUGUCAUUUGUGAU
Esox lucius (northern pike) is the source of this 2069-nucleotide long non-coding RNA. Lineage: Eukaryota; Metazoa; Chordata; Actinopteri; Esociformes; Esocidae. The record is from Ensembl.